Molecule: ribosomal RNA, 256 nt
Filed under: uncultured bacterium
Lineage: Bacteria
Description: partial 16S ribosomal RNA
Rfam family: Bacterial small subunit ribosomal RNA
Source: RNAcentral
UACGAAGGGGGCUAGCGUUGCUCGGAAUUACUGGGCGUAAAGCGCACGUAGGCGGCUUUCUAAGUCGGGGGUGAAAUCCUGGAGCUCAACUCCAGAACUGCCUUCGAUACUGGAGAGCUUGAGUCCGGGAGAGGUGAGUGGAACUGGCGAAGUGUAGAGGUGAAAUUUCGUAGAUAUUCGCAAGAACACCAGUGGCGAAGGCGGCUCACUGGCCCGGUACUGACGCUGAGGUGCGAAAGCGUGGGGAGCAACAGGG